UUUUAUGGAGAGUUUGAUCCUGGCUCAGAGUGAACGCUGGCGGCGUGCCUAAUACAUGCAAGUCGAACGAUGAAGCUUCUAGCUUGCUAGAAGUGGAUUAGUGGCGCACGGGUGAGUAAGGUAUAGUUAAUCUGCCCUACACAAGAGGACAACAGUUGGAAACGACUGCUAAUACUCUAUACUCCUGCUUAACACAAGUUGAGUAGGGAAAGUUUUUCGGUGUAGGAUGAGACUAUAUAGUAUCAGCUAGUUGGUAAGGUAAUGGCUUACCAAGGCU
Molecule: ribosomal RNA, 277 nt
Filed under: Campylobacter coli
Lineage: Bacteria; Pseudomonadati; Campylobacterota; Epsilonproteobacteria; Campylobacterales; Campylobacteraceae
Description: partial 16S ribosomal RNA
Rfam family: Bacterial small subunit ribosomal RNA
Source: RNAcentral